UACGUAGGGUGCGAGCGUUAAUCGGAAUUACUGGGCGUAAAGCGUGCGCAGGCGGUUCGUUAAGUCAGAUGUGAAAGCCCCGGGCUCAACCUGGGAACGGCAUUUGAAACUGGCGGGCUGGAGUGUGGCAGAGGGGGGUGGAAUUCCGCGUGUAGCAGUGAAAUGCGUAGAGAUGCGGAGGAACACCGAUGGCGAAGGCAGCCCCCUGGGCCAACACUGACGCUCAGGCACGAAAGCGUGGGGAGCAAACAGG
This 253-nucleotide ribosomal RNA is filed under the name uncultured bacterium. RNAcentral's name for it is "partial 16S ribosomal RNA". It matches the Rfam family "Bacterial small subunit ribosomal RNA", at positions 524 to 776 of the family's 1533-position model. The record is from RNAcentral.